ACGCGUGGGAAUAUGCCCAAAGGUACGGAAUAGCCUCUGGAAACGGAGAGUAAUACCGUAUGUGCCCUUCGGGGGAAAGAUUUAUCGCCUUUGGAUUAGCCCGCGUUGGAUUAGGUAGUUGGUGGGGUAAUGGCCUACCAAGCCUACGAUCCAUAGCUGGUUUGAGAGGAUGAUCAGCAACACUGGGACUGAGACACGGCCCAGACUCCUACGGGAGGCAGCAGUGGGGAAUCUUAGACAAUGGGGGAAACCCUGAUCUAGCCAUGCCGCGUGAGUGACGAAGGCCCUAGGGUCGUAAAGCUCUUUCGCCAGAGAUGAUAAUGACAGUAUCUGGUAAAGAAACCCCGGCUAACUCCGUGCCAGCAGCCGCGGUAAUACGGAGGGGGUUAGCGUUGUUCGGAAUUACUGGGCGUAAAGCGUACGUAGGCGGAUUAGUCAGUCAGAGGUGAAAUCCCAGGGCUCAACCCUGGAACUGCCUUUGAUACUGCUAGUCUUGAGUUCGAGAGAGGUGAGUGGAAUUCCAAGUGUAGAGGUGAAAUUCGUAGAUAUUUGGAGGAACACCAGUGGCGAAGGCGGCUCACUGGCUCGAUACUGACGCUGAGGUACGAAAGUGUGGGGAGCAAACAGGAUUAGAUACCCUGGGUAGUCCACACCGUAAACGAUGAAUGCCAGACGUCGGGGGGCAUGCCCUUCGGUGUCACACCUAACGGAUUAAGCAUUCCGCCUGGGGGAGUACGGUCGCAAGAUUAAAACUCA
This 756-nucleotide ribosomal RNA is filed under the name uncultured bacterium. RNAcentral describes it as "bacterial SSU rRNA". It matches the Rfam family "Bacterial small subunit ribosomal RNA", at positions 113 to 903 of the family's 1533-position model. The record is from RNAcentral.